RNAcentral lists this ribosomal RNA (524 nucleotides) under uncultured bacterium. RNAcentral describes it as "partial 16S ribosomal RNA". It matches the Rfam family "Bacterial small subunit ribosomal RNA", at positions 28 to 523 of the family's 1533-position model. The record is from RNAcentral.
GACGAACGCUGGCGGCGUGCCUAAUACAUGCAAGUCGAGCGCAGGAAACUGACGGAACUCUUCGGAGGGAAGGCAGUGGAAUGAGCGGCGGACGGGUGAGUAACACGUAAGGAACCUGCCUCAAGGAUUGGGAUAACUCCGAGAAAUCGGAGCUAAUACCGGAUAGUUCAUCGGACCGCAUGGUCCGUUGAUGAAAGGCGCUCCGGCGUCACCUUGAGAUGGCCUUGCGGUGCAUUGGCUAGUUGGUGGGGUAACGGCCCACCAAGGCGACGAUGCAUAGCCGGCCGGAGAGGGUGAUCGGCCACACUGGGACUGAGACACGGCCCAGACUCCUACGGGAGGCAGCAGUAGGGAAUCUUCCACAAUGGACGAAAGUCUGAUGGAGCAACGCCGCGUGAGUGAUGAAGGUUUUCGGAUCGUAAGACUCUGUUGUAAGGGAAGAACACGUACGAGAGGGAAUGCUCGUACCUUGACGGUACCUUACGAGAAAGCCACGGCUAACUACGUGCCAGCCGCCGCCGUAA